Molecule: non-coding RNA, 94 nt
Organism: Tirmania nivea
Lineage: Eukaryota; Fungi; Ascomycota; Pezizomycetes; Pezizales; Pezizaceae
Source: the annotation of a GenBank genome assembly
GGCACAGUGGUCUAAUGGUAAGACUCCCCACUAUGUAGAGACCUGCUCGUUUCACGCAGAGGGUGGGAUCUGGGUUCAACUCCCAGCUGAGCCA